CCCUUAGAUGUUCUGGGCCGCACGCGCGCUACACUGAUGCAUUCAACGAGCCUAUCCUUGACCGACAGGUCCGGGUAAUCUUUGAAUCUGCAUCGUGACGGGGAUAGAUUAUUGCAAUUAUUAAUCUUCAACGAGGAAUGCCUAGUAGGCGCAAGUCAUCAGCUUGCGUCGAUUACGUCCCUGCCCUUCGUACACACCGCCCGUCGCUCCUACCGAUUGGGUGUGCUGGUGAAAUGUUCGGAUCGGCCGUUUGUCGCGGUUUCCGCGUCAUGUGGCUGAGAAGUUCAUUAAACCCUCCCACCUAGAGGAAGGAGAAGUCGUAACA
This 325-nucleotide ribosomal RNA is filed under the name uncultured eukaryote. RNAcentral's name for it is "partial 18S ribosomal RNA". It matches the Rfam family "Eukaryotic small subunit ribosomal RNA", at positions 1470 to 1796 of the family's 1831-position model. The record is from RNAcentral.